This 1022-nucleotide long non-coding RNA is filed under the name Lactuca sativa (garden lettuce). RNAcentral describes it as "long non-coding RNA (LSAT_LNC006622)". The record is from RNAcentral. Lineage: Eukaryota; Viridiplantae; Streptophyta; Magnoliopsida; Asterales; Asteraceae.
GAAAGCAUUAUCAACUAGGAGUUUAAACUAAGUAGAAGUGAAGCAGUAGUAUCUUAACCAAGUAGGAGUAUAAAAACAUGGGAGAAAACUUUGAUGAAAAACUUGGGAAAACCUUUGUACUUGAGAAAAUCACGUCUUGGUAUUCUUUUGUAAAAUAAGUUUUAAAUGAAACUUUGAUAAAACAUUUUAAGUACAGAAAACCUUUGUUUAUAAUGCGGCUGUAAGGGAAUUUGAAAUAAAACAUGCAGCGCAAGAAACAAUUUGAGAAGAGCUUUGAACAAGUGAAAACGUUUUAGUAAAACCAUUUACAGUAUCAUUCUUGGUAAAACAUUUGACAGUGUAACAAAUCCUUGUGCAUGCGGGUUAUCAAUCACGUGUGAUUGAUAUGAUAACUGGCAUGUUUAACUUGUAUUCCCCCCCCCCCCCCCCCAUAAAACAUGUAAAAAAUUUUAAAAGAUUCAUUCAGGGGUAUGAACUCACCUGUUGUAAGUGGAUCGAACGAAUGUGCCAGUUUGGUGCUCGGUGUCAAGUAAAGACUUGACCACACUUAGUGACCUAUUAACAUAUGACGACAUAUGUUUACAUACAAUUAGUUCAUAUAAUACUAAUUAAACAUGUACACGCAUCCUAAAGUGCGGAAAACACUUUGGUUAAGUGCUUGGGGUGUCCCGGGUAACAUCUAAGGGUGUGUAUGGCUUAGAUAGGGAGUUUACAUUCCAAGAGUAAACUCUUUAUAGAGUUCACGGCCCUGGGACUAACUCCCCAUGAGUUUACGGCCGUAAACUCAUGGUGAGGGUGUUCUAGGAUGCCAAAAUGUCUUAUAUCACUUGUGGAAUUUUGCUAGGUCCCAAUAUAAGGCACAUGAGUGGAUUUAAGGCAUCNUUUAACUUGUAUUCACCCCCCCCCCAUAAAACAUGUAAAAAAUUUUAAAAGAUUCAUUCAGGGGUAUGAACUCACCUGUUGUAAGUGGAUCGAACGAAUGUGCCAGUUUGGUGCUCGGUGUCAAGUAAAGACUUGACCAC